This 588-nucleotide long non-coding RNA is filed under the name Hordeum vulgare. RNAcentral's name for it is "long non-coding RNA (HVUL_LNC005351)". Lineage: Eukaryota; Viridiplantae; Streptophyta; Magnoliopsida; Poales; Poaceae. The record is from RNAcentral.
CCAGAUUUGCAGUCAAAAAAUGGUUCUUCAUGUUCAUUGAACAGUACGCAUCUCCAAAAAGAAACAGUGUCACCAGAAUGACCAUGAAGAAAAAGUUUCUUCCUGAAGUCUUCCUUGCCUUUAACUGAGAGCCGGUGAUCUGAUGCAGGUACGUCUUCCCGUUCGUCCUCAGAACCAGAUACACUAGAUACCUCCAAAUCGUCAAACAGAGAAUCAGAAUCAAUUUUUUCCAAAUCUUCUUCCUUGAUAAUAGAUUUACCAGCAACACUCAGCUUAACCUAACAGGAUUGCCAAAAAAGCAGAUUAAACAGUGUCAAUAACAUGAGAAACUUUAGCACGAAUAGGUUUUUUAGAAUGGCAUGCUACACAAACCCCACAGUAAUUAUACUNACCAUGAAAAAAAAGUUUCUUCCUGAAGUCUUCCUUGCCUUUAACUGAGAGCCGGUGAUCUGAUGCAGGUACGUCUUCCCGUUCGUCCUCAGAACCAGAUACACUAGAUACCUCCAAAUCGUCAAACAGAGAAUCAGAAUCAAUUUUUUCCAAAUCUUCUUCCUUGAUAAUAGAUUUACCAGCAACACUCAGCUUAAC